Molecule: ribosomal RNA, 749 nt
Filed under: Streptomyces sp.
Lineage: Bacteria; Bacillati; Actinomycetota; Actinomycetes; Kitasatosporales; Streptomycetaceae
Description: bacterial SSU rRNA
Rfam family: Bacterial small subunit ribosomal RNA
Source: RNAcentral
GUGAGUAACACGUGGGCAAUCUGCCCUGCACUCUGGGACAAGCCCUGGAAACGGGGUCUAAUACCGGAUGACACUUUCUCUCGCAUGGGAGAAGGUUGAAAGCUCCGGCGGUGCAGGAUGAGCCCGCGGCCUAUCAGCUAGUUGGUGAGGUAGAAGCUCACCAAGGCGACGACGGGUAGCCGGCCUGAGAGGGCGACCGGCCACACUGGGACUGAGACACGGCCCAGACUCCUACGGGAGGCAGCAGUGGGGAAUAUUGCACAAUGGGCGAAAGCCUGAUGCAGCGACGCCGCGUGAGGGAUGACGGCCUUCGGGUUGUAAACCUCUUUCAGCAGGGAAGAAGCGAAAGUGACGGUACCUGCAGAAGAAGCGCCGGCUAACUACGUGCCAGCAGCCGCGGUAAUACGUAGGGCGCAAGCGUUGUCCGGAAUUAUUGGGCGUAAAGAGCUCGUAGGCGGCUUGUCACGUCGGUUGUGAAAGCCCGGGGCUUAACCCCGGGUCUGCAGUCGAUACGGGCAGGCUAGAGUGUGGUAGGGGAGAUCGGAAUUCCUGGUGUAGCGGUGAAAUGCGCAGAUAUCAGGAGGAACACCGGUGGCGAAGGCGGAUCUCUGGGCCAUUACUGACGCUGAGGAGCGAAAGCGUGGGGAGCGAACAGGAUUAGAUACCCUGGUAGUCCACGCCGUAAACGGUGGGAACUAGGUGUUGGCGACAUUCCACGUCGUCGGUGCCGCAGCUAACGCAUUAAGUUC